This 73-nucleotide transfer RNA is filed under the name Ailuropoda melanoleuca (giant panda). It matches the Rfam family "tRNA". Rfam says of the family: Transfer RNA (tRNA) molecules are approximately 80 nucleotides in length. Their secondary structure includes four short double-helical elements and three loops (D, anti-codon, and T loops). Further hydrogen bonds mediate the characteristic L-shaped molecular structure. tRNAs have two regions of fundamental functional importance: the anti-codon, which is responsible for specific mRNA codon recognition, and the 3' end, to which the tRNAs corresponding amino acid is attached (by aminoacyl-tRNA synthetases). tRNAs cope with the degeneracy of the genetic code in two manners: having more than one tRNA (with a specific anti-codon) for a particular amino acid; and 'wobble' base-pairing, i.e. permitting non-standard base-pairing at the 3rd anti-codon position. The record is from Rfam by way of RNAcentral. Lineage: Eukaryota; Metazoa; Chordata; Mammalia; Carnivora; Ursidae.
CCCUGGCUGGCUCAGUUGAUAGAGCACGAGACUCUCAAUCUCAGUGUUGUGAGUUCCAGCCUCAUGUUGGGUA